GCGCGUAAAUUGCCCGAAUCCUGACACAGGGAGGUAGUGACAAGAAAUAACAAUACAGGGCUAUCUUAGUCUUGUAAUUGGAAUGAGUACAAUUUACAUCUCUUCACGAGGAUCAAUUGGAGGGCAAGUCUGGUGCCAGCAGCCGCGGUAAUUCCAGCUCCAAUAGCGUAUAUUAAAGUUGUUGCAGUUAAAACGCUCGUAGUCGGAUUUCGGGGCGGGCCGACCGGUCUGCCGAUGGGUAUGCACUGGCCGGCGCGUCCUUCCUUCCGGAGACCGCGCCUACUCUUAGCUGAGCGGGCGCGGGAGACGGAUCGUUUACUUUGAAAAAAUCAGAGUGUUUCAAGCAGGCAGCUCGCUCUUGCAUGGAUUAGCAUGGGAUAAUGAAAUAGGACUUUGGUGCUAUUUUGUUGGUUUCGAACACCGAAGUAAUGAUUAACAGGGACAGUCAGGGGCACUCGUAUUCC
Molecule: ribosomal RNA, 464 nt
Filed under: Haptophyta environmental samples
Lineage: Eukaryota; Haptophyta
Description: SSU rRNA
Rfam family: Eukaryotic small subunit ribosomal RNA
Source: RNAcentral